UUGAACGCUGGCGGCAUGCCUAACACAUGCAAGUCGAACGAGAAAGGGGGGGCAACUCCCCGAGUAAAGUGGCGAACGGGUGAGUAAUACGUAGGAAUCUGCCCUAGAGUGGGGGAUAACCUGCCGAAAGGCGGGCUAAUACCGCAUAACCUCUACGGAGCAAAGGUGCCUUGUACUUCGGUGCGGGGUUUCGCUUUAGGAUGAGCCUACGUCGGAUUAGUUUGUUGGUAAGGUAACGGCUUACCAAGGCGACGAUCCGUAGCUGGUCUGAGAGGACGAUCAGCCACACUGGAACUGAGACACGGUCCAGACUCCUACGGGAGGCAGCAGUGGGGAAUAUUGGACAAUGGGGGCAACCCUGAUCCAGCAAUGCCGCGUGUGUGAUGAAGGCCUGCGGGUUGUAAAGCACUUUCGGUGGGGAAGAAACGCUUAAAUAUAAUACAUUUAAGAACUGACGUUACCCACAGAAGAAGCACCGGCUAACUCU
Molecule: ribosomal RNA, 487 nt
Filed under: uncultured bacterium
Lineage: Bacteria
Description: bacterial SSU rRNA
Rfam family: Bacterial small subunit ribosomal RNA
Source: RNAcentral